Molecule: ribosomal RNA, 279 nt
Filed under: uncultured eukaryote
Lineage: Eukaryota
Description: partial large subunit ribosomal RNA
Source: RNAcentral
GGAUUCGGUCGAAGGAUAAACCAAUCUGUUCUGUUGGGUUCCCUGUGCCCUUGUGCCUCUGUGGUGUACCGGAGACAACGGUUACAUUGUCCGUAUCACGAGCGUUCCCGCGAUCAUGUCGUGGAGGGCCUGUUUGCGCUCGGUGAAGCCGGCGAUGAUAAAGCCGAUAGUGAUUGUCAGCCAUGAGAUCCAUUUGGCGAAAUGUCUUCCAGUAGCGCGGCCGAACGAAAUUCGCCGGCCUUCCAGGUCUGUCACUUUGAGACCGAUAGCGCACAAGUA